GACGAACGCUGGCGGCGUGCUUAACACAUGCAAGUCGAACGAUGAAGAAGAGAAACGCGAACUUCGGUUCAAAUUUCACUUCGGAUUAGUGGCAGACGGGUGAGUAACGCGUGAGCAACCUACCUCUUACAAAGGGAUAGCCUCGGGAAACCGUGAUUAAUACCAUAUGACACAUUCAUAAGGCAUCUUAAGAAUGUUAAAGCUACGGCGGUAAGAGAUGGGCUCGCGUCCCAUUAGCUAGUUGGUGAGGUAACGGCCCACCAAGGCGACGAUGGGUAACCGGGCUGAGAGGGUGAACGGUCACAUUGGAACUGAGACACGGUCCAAACUCCUACGGGAGGCAGCAGUGGGGAAUAUUGCAAAAUGGAGGGAACUCUGAUGCAGCGACGCCGCGUGAGCGAUGAAGGAAUUCGUUUCGUAAAGCUCUGUUCUAUGGGAAGAAAAGGACUGUACCAUAGGAGAAAGCCCCGGCUAAAUACGUG
RNAcentral lists this ribosomal RNA (482 nucleotides) under uncultured bacterium. RNAcentral describes it as "partial 16S ribosomal RNA". It matches the Rfam family "Bacterial small subunit ribosomal RNA", at positions 28 to 507 of the family's 1533-position model. The record is from RNAcentral.